Molecule: ribosomal RNA, 2891 nt
Filed under: Acinetobacter baumannii 42057_6
Lineage: Bacteria; Pseudomonadati; Pseudomonadota; Gammaproteobacteria; Moraxellales; Moraxellaceae
Description: bacterial LSU rRNA
Rfam family: Bacterial large subunit ribosomal RNA
Source: RNAcentral
UCAAGUAAUUAAGUGCAUGUGGUGGAUGCCUUGGCAGUCAGAGGCGAUGAAAGACGUGAUAGCCUGCGAAAAGCUCCGGGGAGGCGGCAAAUAUCCUUUGAUCCGGAGAUGUCUGAAUGGGGGAACCCACCUACUUUAAGGUAGGUAUUGCAACAUGAAUACAUAGUGUUGCAAGGCGAACGAGGGGAAGUGAAACAUCUCAGUACCCUUAGGAAAAGAAAUCAAUUGAGAUUCCCUCAGUAGCGGCGAGCGAACGGGGAUCAGCCCAUUAAGUUAUGUGUGUUUUAGUGGAACGCUCUGGGAAGUGCGAACGUAGAGGGUGAUAUUCCCGUACACGAAAGGGCACACAUAAUGAUGACGAGUAGGGCGAGGCACGUGAAACCUUGUCUGAAUAUGGGGGGACCAUCCUCCAAGGCUAAAUACUCCUGACUGACCGAUAGUGAACCAGUACCGUGAGGGAAAGGCGAAAAGAACCCCUGUGAGGGGAGUGAAAUAGAUCCUGAAACCGCAUGCAUACAAGCAGUGGGAGCACCUUCGUGGUGUGACUGCGUACCUUUUGUAUAAUGGGUCAGCGACUUAUAUUCAGUAGCGAGGUUAACCGUAUAGGGGAGCCGUAGAGAAAUCGAGUCUUAAUAGGGCGUUUAGUUGCUGGGUAUAGACCCGAAACCAGGCGAUCUAUCCAUGAGCAGGUUGAAGGUUGGGUAACACUAACUGGAGGACCGAACCCACUGUCGUUGAAAAGCCAGGGGAUGACUUGUGGAUAGGGGUGAAAGGCUAAUCAAGCCUGGUGAUAGCUGGUUCUCCCCGAAAGCUAUUUAGGUAGCGCCUCGGACGAAUACCAUAGGGGGUAGAGCACUGUUUCGGCUAGGGGGUCAUCCCGACUUACCAAACCGAUGCAAACUCCGAAUACCUAUGAGUACUAUCCGGGAGACAGACUGCGGGUGCUAACGUCCGUAGUCAAGAGGAAAACAAUCCAGACCGCCAGCUAAGGCCCCAAAAUCAUAGUUAAGUGGGAAACGAUGUGGGAAGGCAUAGACAGCUAGGAGGUUGGCUUAGAAGCAGCCACCCUUUAAAGAAAGCGUAAUAGCUCACUAGUCGAGUCGGCCUGCGCGGAAGAUGUAACGGGGCUAAAACUAUGUGCCGAAGCUGCGGAUGUAUACUUUGUAUACGUGGUAGGGGAGCGUUCUGUAAGCCGAUGAAGGUGUGUUGAGAAGCAUGCUGGAGGUAUCAGAAGUGCGAAUGCUGACGUGAGUAACGACAAAACGGGUGAAAAACCCGUUCGCCGAAAGACCAAGGGUUCCAGUCCAACGUUAAUCGGGGCUGGGUGAGUCGACCCCUAAGGCGAGGCCGAAAGGCGUAGUCGAUGGGAAAAUGGUUAAUAUUCCAUUACUUCUGUGUAAUGCGAUGAGAGGACGGAGAAGGCUAAAUCAGCCUGGCGUUGGUUGUCCAGGUGAAAGGAUGUAGGCAUGUAUCUUAGGCAAAUCCGGGGUACUCUAUGCUGAGAUCUGAUAGCAAGCUGUACUUGUACAGCGAAGUGGUUGAUGCCAUGCUUCCAGGAAAAGUCUCUAAGCUUCAGUUACACAGGAAUCGUACCCGAAACCGACACAGGUGGUCAGGUCGAGUAGACCAAGGCGCUUGAGAGAACUCUGCUGAAGGAACUAGGCAAAAUGGUACCGUAACUUCGGGAGAAGGUACGCUGUUGUUGGUGAUGGAACUCGCUUCCUGAGCUGACGACAGCCGCAGAAACCAGGCCGCUGCAACUGUUUAUUAAAAACAUAGCACUCUGCAAACACGAAAGUGGACGUAUAGGGUGUGAUGCCUGCCCGGUGCUGGAAGGUUAAUUGAUGGGGUUAGCGUAAGCGAAGCUCUUGAUCGAAGCCCCAGUAAACGGCGGCCGUAACUAUAACGGUCCUAAGGUAGCGAAAUUCCUUGUCGGGUAAGUUCCGACCUGCACGAAUGGCAUAAUGAUGGCGGCGCUGUCUCCAGCAGAGGCUCAGUGAAAUCGAAAUCGCUGUGAAGAUGCAGUGUACCCGCGGCUAGACGGAAAGACCCCGUGAACCUUUACUGCAGCUUGACACUGAACUUUGACCUUACUUGUGUAGGAUAGGUGGGAGGCUUUGAAGCUGGAACGCUAGUUCCAGUGGAGCCGUCCUUGAAAUACCACCCUGGUAAUGUUGAGGUUCUAACUCUGUCCCGUGAUCCGGGACGAGGACCGUGUCUGGUGGGUAGUUUGACUGGGGCGGUCUCCUCCUAAAGAGUAACGGAGGAGUACGAAGGUGCGCUCAGCGUGGUCGGAAAUCACGCGUAGAGUAUAAAGGCAAAAGCGCGCUUAACUGCGAGACCCACAAGUCGAGCAGGUACGAAAGUAGGUCUUAGUGAUCCGGUGGUUCUGUAUGGAAGGGCCAUCGCUCAACGGAUAAAAGGUACUCUGGGGAUAACAGGCUGAUACCGCCCAAGAGUUCAUAUCGACGGCGGUGUUUGGCACCUCGAUGUCGGCUCAUCUCAUCCUGGGGCUGAAGCAGGUCCCAAGGGUAUGGCUGUUCGCCAUUUAAAGAGGUACGCGAGCUGGGUUUAGAACGUCGUGAGACAGUUCGGUCCCUAUCUACCGUGGGCGCUGGAAAUUUGAGAGGAUCUGCUCCUAGUACGAGAGGACCAGAGUGGACGAACCUCUGGUGUACCGGUUGUGACGCCAGUCGCAUCGCCGGGUAGCUAUGUUCGGAAGGGAUAACCGCUGAAAGCAUCUAAGCGGGAAGCCUACCUCAAGAUAAGAUUUCCCUAGGACUUUAUGUCCUCUAAAGAGCCGUUAGAGACUAGGACGUUGAUAGGUUGGAUGUGGAAGCAUAGUGAUAUGUGAAGCUGACCAAUACUAAUUGCUCGUGAGGCUUGACUAU